Molecule: ribosomal RNA, 442 nt
Filed under: uncultured bacterium
Lineage: Bacteria
Description: partial 16S ribosomal RNA
Rfam family: Bacterial small subunit ribosomal RNA
Source: RNAcentral
CCUACGGGGGGCAGCAGUGGGGGAUAUUGCACAAUGGGGGAAACCCUGAUGCAGCGACGCCGCGUGGGCGAAGAAGUAUUUCGGUAUGUAAAGCCCUAUCAGCAGGAAAGAAGAAAUGACGGUACCUGAGUAAGAAGCACCGGCUAAAUACGUGCCAGCAGCCGCGGUAAUACGUAUGGUGCAAGCGUUAUCCGGAUUUACUGGGUGUAAAGGGAGCGCAGGCGGCACGGCAAGCCUGAUGUGAAAGCCCGCGGCCCAACCGCGGGACUGCAUUGGGAACUACCGGGCUGGAGUGCCGGAGAGGUAGGCGGAAUUCCUAGUGUAGCGGUGAAAUGCGUAGAUAUUAGGAGGAACACCAGUGGCGAAGGCGGCUUACUGGACUGUAACUGACGUUGAGGCUCGAAAGCGUGGGGAGCAAACAGGAUUAGAUACCCUUGUAGUC